AGGACGAACGCUGGCGGCGCGCUUAAUACAUGCAAGUCGAGCGAGAACCAGGGCUUCGGCUCUGGGGACAGCGGCGAACGGGUGAGUAACACGUGGGUAAUCAACCCCCGACACCGGGAUAGCCCAGGGAAACUUGGGCUAAUACCGGAUACGUCCGUAAGGAGAAAGAUUUAUCGCCGAAAGAUCGGCCCGCGUCUGAUUAGCUAGUUGGUGAGGUAACGGCUCACCAAGGCGACGAUCAGUAGCUGGUCUGAGAGGAUGAUCAGCCUCACUGGGACUGAGACACGGCCCAGACUCCUACGGGAGGCAGCAGUGGGGAAUAUUGGACAAUGGGCGCAAGCCUGAUCCAGCCAUGCCGCGUGGGUGAUGAAGGCCCUAGGGUUGUAAAGCCCGUUUCGGCGGGGAAGAUAAUGACGGUACCGCAGAAGAAGCCCCGGCUAACUUCGUGCCAGCAGCCGC
This 459-nucleotide ribosomal RNA is filed under the name uncultured bacterium. Its description in RNAcentral is "SSU rRNA". It matches the Rfam family "Bacterial small subunit ribosomal RNA", at positions 26 to 518 of the family's 1533-position model. The record is from RNAcentral.